This 240-nucleotide long non-coding RNA is filed under the name Mytilus galloprovincialis (Mediterranean mussel). The record is from RNAcentral. Lineage: Eukaryota; Metazoa; Mollusca; Bivalvia; Mytilida; Mytilidae.
CGAUUUGAGAAACGGACGUCGAUUUGAGGAACGGACGUCGAUUAGAGGCCGGACGUCGAUCUGAGUCUAACAUAUAUAUUCGCAUUCUGAUUUUUUUUUAAAUGCACGUUCAAUGCAUGAGGUGUGUGUUUUUUUUUCUUAAUAAGACUAUGACCACAAAGGUAUAUAGGGUAGGAAAAUGAAAAGCACCAAUUACAAGCAUGCAAUUUAUCAAGUACUUUCAACUAAUUUUGAAACUCC